RNAcentral lists this ribosomal RNA (612 nucleotides) under Escherichia coli. Its description in RNAcentral is "partial 23S ribosomal RNA". It matches the Rfam family "Bacterial large subunit ribosomal RNA", at positions 2324 to 2925 of the family's 2925-position model. The record is from RNAcentral. Lineage: Bacteria; Pseudomonadati; Pseudomonadota; Gammaproteobacteria; Enterobacterales; Enterobacteriaceae.
AUCCUGGUCGGACAUCAGGAGGUUAGUGCAAUGGCAUAAGCCAGCUUGACUGCGAGCGUGACGGCGCGAGCAGGUGCGAAAGCAGGUCAUAGUGAUCCGGUGGUUCUGAAUGGAAGGGCCAUCGCUCAACGGAUAAAAGGUACUCCGGGGAUAACAGGCUGAUACCGCCCAAGAGUUCAUAUCGACGGCGGUGUUUGGCACCUCGAUGUCGGCUCAUCACAUCCUGGGGCUGAAGUAGGUCCCAAGGGUAUGGCUGUUCGCCAUUUAAAGUGGUACGCGAGCUGGGUUUAGAACGUCGUGAGACAGUUCGGUCCCUAUCUGCCGUGGGCGCUGGAGAACUGAGGGGGGCUGCUCCUAGUACGAGAGGACCGGAGUGGACGCAUCACUGGUGUUCGGGUUGUCAUGCCAAUGGCACUGCCCGGUAGCUAAAUGCGGAAGAGAUAAGUGCUGAAAGCAUCUAAGCACGAAACUUGCCCCGAGAUGAGUUCUCCCUGACCCUUUAAGGGUCCUGAAGGAACGUUGAAGACGACGACGUUGAUAGGCCGGGUGUGUAAGCGCAGCGAUGCGUUGAGCUAACCGGUACUAAUGAACCGUGAGGCUUAACCUUACAAC